UCCCGCACCAUGCUCUCCCUGCUCCGCAGCACUUUGCCCCUGGUGCCCGGUGCCAGCCGCGCCAUGUCCGCCGUGUCCCUGCUCGUCUCCCCGGGCCGCUGCCUCUUUGACGACCCCCUGCGGCUCCGGGGCCGCGGUCUGAGCCCCGGGCAGGACGUCAGCCUCCGCACCGCUCUGACGGACGAGGCCGGCCACCUGUUCACCUCCGUGGGCCUGUACCGAGCGGACAGCGGCGGGGAGCUGGACUUCAGCCGGAGCCCGGCCCUGGAGGGCGGCAGCUACACCGGAGUGGAGCCGGAGGGGCCCCUGUGGUCCCUGGAGUCCGAGACUCCCCUCAGGAGGCUGCUGAAGAAGGACGUGCAGAGCCCGCUCCAGCUCCGCUUCUCCCUGCACCAGGCCCACGACCCGCCCGGGGCUCUCCUAGCUGCUGCCGCCCAGGAGAGGGGCUUCAUGGGGGAAGGGGUGAUCCGGGUGCCAGUGCGGGAGGGACGGGUGCGGGGCAGCCUCUUCCUGCCGCCCGGUCCAGGUCCGUUUCCAGGAGUCAUUGAAGUUCAGGGGACGGGUGGAGGCCUCCUGGAUUACAAGGCGAGCCUGCUGGCUAAUAGAGGCUUUGCCACGCUGGCAUUAGCUUACUAUAACUAUGAAGAUCUACCUAAAGACAUGAAGGAGCUUCGUCUGGAAUACUUCGAAGAAGCAGUAAACUAUAUGCUGCAACAUCCCAAGGUGAAGGGUCCGGGGAUAGGUCUCCUUGGCCAUUCUAAAGGUGGAGACUUGGUGCUUUCUAUGGCCUCCUUCCUUAAAGGUAUAGCGGCCACAGCUGUUGUGAAUGGCUCGGUGGCGAAUAUUGGCGCAGUCCUUCACUACAAGGACAACACUCUGCUUCCUAUUGGCUUUGAUAUUAAAAAGUUAAAACACCCUGAGCCAGGAGUGGGCGAUAUCCACGACCUAUUGCAUAAUCCGCUAGAAGAGGCUAACCGCAAGAGCCUUAUUCCUGUUGGGAAAGCCGACUGCAAGUUUCUGUUUAUUGUGGCAGAAGAUGACAGGAACUGGAAGAGUGACUUUCACGCCCAAGCGGCGUGCCAGCUUCUGCAAGAGGAAGGCAAAGAAAAGCCUGAAGUGGUGUACUAUCCCAAAGCCGGCCAUUACCUAGAGCCGCCCUAUUUCCCCUUGUGUAAGGCGUCUAUGCACAGGCUUGUUGGUAUUCCCGUGGUUUGGGGAGGAGAACCAAAAGCUCAUGCAAUGGCACAAGUGGACUCAUGGCAGAGAAUUCAGGCCUUCUUGCACAAGCAUCUCAAAAAUGACCUGGAGAAUAAAUUAUGACCAUAUUGUGUUAUGAGCACAUGGCCUUAAAGGGGUUCUCCGGGAAUAAUCAGUUUUUAGCAAGAGCCCACUGCCCGCCUUUCUAAACAGAAGACUCAUACCUACAUGGUCCAUGCUGCCUCCCCUGUGUCCAUGUUGACAUCAUGGUCACAUGCUCUGCUGCCGCCAACGACUGGCUUCAGCGGUGACAUGCUGCUUGUGGCCACGUCACCACUGAAGCCAGUCAUUGGCUGCAGCAGAGCAUGUGACCAUGUCCAUGCUGCGCUGGAUGUCAACACUGCGGCGACUAAAACGUGGACACAGCGGAGGCGGCGGUGUGGAGUAGGUAUGUAUUUAUCUUCUGUGUAGAGAGGCAGGCUGUGUGCUCUCGCUAAAAACUGCCGGAGAACCCCUUUAAAGCAGAUCUGUCAGCUUAAUAUGCUUCUCUAUGUAAGGGCAGCUUAUAAAGGCUACAGGUCCUUACUACUAGUAGCCAAUAUGAUAAAAAUAUUAUGCCAUUUUACUACAGGGAGCGCUGAAAGAAUACACCGGACAUGGGGUCCAUAAGAAGAGUGCUCCCUUAGCCCCCUGAGCGGUGAGUGACUGGCUGUUGUAUAUGCGCACAUAUGCAGAGAGGGGGAAAGGGGAGCCCUCUCCUUAUGAAUAUACUGGACUCCUAAACUCCAUGUCCGAUGUAUUCUUUUAGCGCUCCCUGUAGUAAAAUGACAAUCUUUUUAUCAUUUUGGCUACUAGUAGUGAGGACCUGUAGCUGUAAUAAGCCGGUAUAUUCUUUCAGUGCUCUUAGUAGCCAAAUGGCACAACUUUUGUGUUGUUUUGGCUAAUAGUACAUAGGACAACAUAUUAAACUGACAAAUCUGCUAAAAAAUAAAUAAAAAAAAUCACAUGGCAACUUGCUGCAGAAAUGUCUGUGACUAAUGGCAUGCCCACACAACGGAUUUUGUCACAUAUUCUUGUUCUUAUUGUCAUUAAACCUGGUAAAAA
RNA transcript from Bufo bufo (common toad), 2301 nucleotides. It is a transcript of the gene named acyl-coenzyme A thioesterase 1-like, with no coding region annotated. The record is from RefSeq and is a predicted model, not a curated record. The transcript has 4 exons. Lineage: Eukaryota; Metazoa; Chordata; Amphibia; Anura; Bufonidae.